RNAcentral lists this ribosomal RNA (498 nucleotides) under uncultured bacterium. RNAcentral describes it as "partial 16S ribosomal RNA". It matches the Rfam family "Bacterial small subunit ribosomal RNA", at positions 30 to 523 of the family's 1533-position model. The record is from RNAcentral.
AUUGAACGCUGGCGGCAUGCCUUACACAUGCAAGUCGAACGGUAACAGGUCUUCGGAUGCUGACGAGUGGAGAACGGGUGAGUAAUACAUCGGAACGUGCCUAGUAGUGGGGGAUAACUACUCGAAAGAGUGGCUAAUACCGCAUGAGAUCUACGGAUGAAAGCAGGGGAUCGCAAGACCUUGUGCUACUAGAGCGGCCGAUGGCAGAUUAGGUAAUUGGUGGGGUAAAAGCUUACCAAGCCGACGAUCUGUAGCUGGUCUGAGAGGACGAUCAGCCACACUGGGACUGAGACACGGCCCAGACUCCUACGGGAGGCAGCAGUGGGGAAUUUUGGACAAUGGGCGCAAGCCUGAUCCAGCAAUGCCGCGUGCAGGAUGAAGGCCUUCGGGUUGUAAACUGCUUUUGUACGGAACGAAAAGCCCUGGGUUAAUACCCUGGGGUCAUGACGGUACCGUAAGAAUAAGCACCGGCUAACUACGUGCCAGCCGCCGCCGUAA